RNAcentral lists this ribosomal RNA (773 nucleotides) under uncultured bacterium. RNAcentral's name for it is "bacterial SSU rRNA". It matches the Rfam family "Bacterial small subunit ribosomal RNA", at positions 8 to 798 of the family's 1533-position model. The record is from RNAcentral.
AGAGUUUGAUCAUGGCUCAGGACGAACGCUGGCGGCGUGCUUAACACAUGCAAGUCGAACGGAAAGGCCCUUCGGGGUACUCGAGUGGCGAACGGGUGAGUAACACGUGGGUGAUCUGCCCUGCACUCUGGGAUAAGCCUGGGAAACUGGGUCUAAUACCGGAUAGGACCGCAUGCUUCAUGGUGUGUGGUGCAAAGCUUUUGCGGUGUGGGAUGAGCCCGCGGCCUAUCAGCUUGUUGGUGGGGUAAUGGCCUACCAAGGCGACGACGGGUAGCCGGCCUGAGAGGGUGACCGGCCACACUGGGACUGAGGUACGGCCCAGACUCCUACGGGAGGCAGCAGUGGGGAAUAUUGCACAAUGGGCGCAAGCCUGAUGCAGCGACGCCGCGUGAGGGAUGACGGCCUUCGGGUUGUAAACCUCUUUCAGUAGGGACGAAGCGAAAGUGACGGUACCUACAGAAGAAGGACCGGCCAACUACGUGCCAGCAGCCGCGGUAAUACGUAGGGUCCGAGCGUUGUCCGGAAUUACUGGGCGUAAAGAGCUCGUAGGUGGUUUGUCGCGUUGUUCGUGAAAACUCACAGCUUAACUGUGGGCGUGCGGGCGAUACGGGCAGACUAGAGUACUGCAGGGGAGACUGGAAUUCCUGGUGUAGCGGUGGAAUGCGCAGAUACCAGGAGGAACACCGGUGGCGAAGGCGGGUCUCUGGGCAGUAACUGACGCUGAGGAGCGAAAGCGUGGGUAGCGAACAGGAUUAGAUACCCCGGUAGUCCAA